UACGUAGGGUGCAAGCGUUAAUCGGAAUUACUGGGCGUAAAGCGUGCGCAGGCGGUUUUGCAAGACAGAUGUGAAAUCCCCGGGCUUAACCUGGGAACUGCAUUUGUGACUGCAAGGCUAGAGUGCGUCAGAGGGAGGUGGAAUUCCGCGUGUAGCAGUGAAAUGCGUAGAGAUGCGGAGGAACACCGAUGGCGAAGGCAGCCUCCUGGGAUAACACUGACGCUCAUGCACGAAAGCGUGGGGAGCAAACAGG
This 253-nucleotide ribosomal RNA is filed under the name uncultured bacterium. RNAcentral's name for it is "partial 16S ribosomal RNA". It matches the Rfam family "Bacterial small subunit ribosomal RNA", at positions 524 to 776 of the family's 1533-position model. The record is from RNAcentral.